AAUGAAUAGCUAAUAAAGCAUGUUAGUUACAUUAAUAAGAUACUUUAAACUGAAGUUUCAUUUUA
RNAcentral lists this transfer RNA (65 nucleotides) under Aacanthocnema dobsoni. Its description in RNAcentral is "tRNA-Val". The record is from RNAcentral. Lineage: Eukaryota; Metazoa; Arthropoda; Insecta; Hemiptera; Triozidae.